AGGAGGUGUUCCAACCCAGUUCACUGGCCAGCAGUUGCAACCAUUCGAUGCCGCCAAUCAGCAAUGCCACGAGCACCCCGAUACCGGUGACCGCGGUGUUGAACACCAGCUCGCGCACUGGGCUCAUGCCGGCGGUAAACAGCAGCGGAAACACCAUCACGCCCCAGAGACUCAUGGCGCCAUGCUGGGCAAGGCUCGCGGACAGGCCCAGGAUCGCGAUUUCGGUGGCGGUAUCAAAACCGAGGCCAAACAGAAACCCGAUCGGGUACAUCUGCCAACUGGCGUGGAUGCGCCCGUACAGGCGCCGGAACACGCGCGACAUGAAGCCGCGCUGCUCCAGUAGCGCAUCGGUGUUGGCUUGCUCAAUGUCCGUUCCGCCGGCGCGUGUGCGCUUCAAUGCCCGCAGCAGCAGGAUGAGGAUGCGCAGGUUGACCAGACCAAUCACAGUCAGGAACAGGGCCGAGACCACGGUGCCGACCACGCCGCCCAUGCCGCGCAUCAGCGCCAUGUGCGGAUUCGGUUUCCCGGGCCGCCAGCGCGAGCCCCAGCGACAGCAGAAUCACCACCGUCGAGUGACCGAGCGAGAAAAACAGACCGACGCUGCCGGGGCGCUGGCCAUCCUGGCGCACUUGCGCGUCACGUUGUCGAUCGCGGCGAUGUGAUCGGCAUCGAAGGCAUGGCGCAGGCCAAAGAAAUACGCCAUCGAGCCGAUGCCGAACAGGGCGGCG
This 728-nucleotide ribosomal RNA is filed under the name uncultured bacterium. RNAcentral describes it as "partial 16S ribosomal RNA". The record is from RNAcentral.